UAAUCGGAAUUACUGGGCGUAAAGCGUGCGCAGGCGGUUUGUUAAGCGAGAUGUGAAAGCCCCGGGCUCAACCUGGGAACCGCAUUUCGAACUGGCAAACUAGAGUCUUGUAGAGGGGGGUAGAAUUCCAGGUGUAGCGGUGAAAUGCGUAGAGAUCUGGAGGAAUACCGGUGGCGAAGGCGGCCCCCUGGACAAAGACUGACGCUCAGGCACGAAAGCGUGGGGAGCAAACAGGAUUAGAUACCCUGGUAGUCCACGCCGUAAACGAUGUCUACUCGGAGUUUGGUGUCUUGAACACUGGGCUCUCAAGCUAACGCAUUAAGUAGACCGCCUGGGGAGUACGGCCGCAAGGUUAAAACUCAAAUGAAUUGACGGGGGCCCGCACAAGCGGUGGAGCAUGUGGUUUAAUUCGAUGCAACGCGAAGAACCUUACCUACUCUUGACAUCCACAGAAUCUGGUAGAGAUACCUCAGUGCCUUCGGGAACUGUGAGACAGG
RNAcentral lists this ribosomal RNA (497 nucleotides) under Shewanella algae. Its description in RNAcentral is "bacterial SSU rRNA". It matches the Rfam family "Bacterial small subunit ribosomal RNA", at positions 542 to 1038 of the family's 1533-position model. The record is from RNAcentral. Lineage: Bacteria; Pseudomonadati; Pseudomonadota; Gammaproteobacteria; Alteromonadales; Shewanellaceae.